AACGAACGCUGGCGGCGUGCCUAACACAUGCAAGUCGAGCGGGAAAGUUCCUUCGGGAGCGAGUACAGCGGCGAACGGGUGAGUAACACGUAGGUAACCUACCUCGAGGUCUGGGAUAACCUGUCGAAAGGCGGGCUAAUACUGGAUAAGACCACGGGGGCUAUGGCCCCUGAGGUAAAAGAUGGCCUCUGCUUGCAAGCUAUCACCACGAGAUGGGCCUGCGCGCCAUUAGCUAGUUGGUGAGGUAACGGCUCACCAAGGCGAAGAUGGCUAGCUGGUCUGAGAGGAUGGCCAGCCACACUGGGACUGAGACACGGCCCAGACUCCUACGGGUGGCAG
This 339-nucleotide ribosomal RNA is filed under the name uncultured Pseudomonadota bacterium. RNAcentral's name for it is "bacterial SSU rRNA". It matches the Rfam family "Bacterial small subunit ribosomal RNA", at positions 29 to 351 of the family's 1533-position model. Lineage: Bacteria; Pseudomonadati; Pseudomonadota. The record is from RNAcentral.